CAUUGUGCCUGUGACCAACUUCUUUUCAAUCCCUCUCAAAGCAAAGGAGGGGAAAGGAUGUUUGGUCUUCAAUUUAUUCUCUUCUUAGCAGCCUUCAAAGGUAUCCAAUCACAGAUCCAGCUGGUGGAGUCUGGAGGAGAUUUAAAAAAGCCUGGGGAGUCCAUCCGCCUAACAUGUCAAGAGUCUGGGUUCUCUGGCUACUGGAUGGACUGGGUGAGACAAGCUCCUGGAAAGGGCCUGGAAUGGGUUGCACGUAUGCACCCAACCAGCUCAUCCAACAUUUACUACUCGGAUAAAGCGAAGGGACGAUUCACCAUUUCCAGGGACAAUUCAAAGAGUCAGAUGUAUUUGCAAAUGAACAGCCUGCAAGCUGAGGACACAGGGAUGUAUUAUUGUGCAAGAGACACAGUGAGGGGAAGUGAAUCUGAAGCAAGACAAAAACUCUCCUUUGCUUAUACCAGCUUCCAAAGCUGA
Molecule: non-coding RNA, 474 nt
Organism: Elgaria multicarinata webbii
Lineage: Eukaryota; Metazoa; Chordata; Lepidosauria; Squamata; Anguidae
Source: the annotation of a RefSeq genome assembly